CUGAGAACUUGCCCUCCAGGGUAGAUCUCCCACCCUCUGUCUACAUACUUUGUUGCUUUGGCAGGCCUGCCUCUGUGCUACUGGCCUAGGCUAGUUAGUGCCUGCCAGAGAACCAAAACCCAGAAUCAUUUAUUGUCUGAGUAAUAUUUAAUAGUUA
Molecule: unclassified non-coding RNA, 157 nt
Filed under: uncultured Helotiales
Lineage: Eukaryota; Fungi; Ascomycota; Leotiomycetes; Helotiales
Description: sequence contains ITS1
Source: RNAcentral